Molecule: ribosomal RNA, 443 nt
Filed under: uncultured bacterium
Lineage: Bacteria
Description: partial 16S ribosomal RNA
Rfam family: Bacterial small subunit ribosomal RNA
Source: RNAcentral
CCUACGGGAGGCUGCAGUGGGGAAUAUUGGACAAUGGGGGGAACCCUGAUCCAGCGACGCCGCGUGAGUGAAGAAGUAUUUCGGUAUGUAAAGCUCUAUCAGCAGGGAAGAAAGAAAUGACGGUACCUGAUUAAGAAGCCCCGGCUAACUACGUGCCAGCAGCCGCGGUAAUACGUAGGGGGCAAGCGUUAGCCGGAUUUACGGGGUGUAAAGGGAGCGUAGAUGGCGAUGCAAGUCUGAAGUGAAAGGCUGGGGCCCAACCCCCGGACUGCUUUGGAAACUGUAUGGCUGGAGUGCAGGAGAGGUAAGUGGAAUUCCUAGUGUAGCGGUGAAAUGCGUAGAUAUUAGGAGGAACACCAGUGGCGAAGGCGGCUUACUGGACUGUAACUGACGUUGAGGCUCGAAAGCGUGGGGAGCAAACAGGAUUAGAUACCCCGGUAGUC